GACGAACGCUGGCGGCGUGCUUAACACAUGCAAGUCGAACGGUGAAGCUCCAGCUUGCUGGAGUGGAUCAGUGGCGAACGGGUGAGUAACACGUGAGCAACCUGCCCCUGACUCUGGAAUAAGCGCUGGAAACGGCGUCUAAUACUGGAUACGAGAAGGGUCCGCAUGGGCACUUUCUGGAAAGUUUUUCGGUUGGGGAUGGGCUCGCGGCCUAUCAGCUUGUUGGUGAGGUAAUGGCUCACCAAGGCGACGACGAGUAGCCGGCCUGAGAGGGCGACCGGCCACACUGGGACUGAGACACGGCCCAGACUCCUACGGGAGGCAGCAGUGGGGAAUAUUGCACAAUGGGCGAAAGCCUGAUGCAGCGACGCCGCGUGAGGGAUGACGGCCUUCGGGUUGUAAACCUCUUUCAGCAGGGAAGAAGCGAAAGUGACGGUACCUGCAGAAGAAGCACCGGCUAACUACGUG
This 468-nucleotide ribosomal RNA is filed under the name uncultured bacterium. RNAcentral's name for it is "partial 16S ribosomal RNA". It matches the Rfam family "Bacterial small subunit ribosomal RNA", at positions 28 to 507 of the family's 1533-position model. The record is from RNAcentral.